UACAGAGGUCUCAACCGUUGUUCGGAUUCAUUGGACGUAAAGGGUGCGUAGGCGGUCGCGUAAGUCAGGUGUGAAAUCUCAGGGCUCAACCCUGAAACUGCACUUGAUACUGCGUGGCUCGGGUACUGGAGAGGAGACUGGAAUUUACGGUGUAGCAGUGAAAUGCGUAGAUAUCGUAAGGAAGACCAGUGGCGAAGGCGAGUCUCUGGACAGUUACCGACGCUGAGGCACGAAGGUCAGGGGAGCAAACGGG
Molecule: ribosomal RNA, 253 nt
Filed under: uncultured bacterium
Lineage: Bacteria
Description: partial 16S ribosomal RNA
Rfam family: Bacterial small subunit ribosomal RNA
Source: RNAcentral